Molecule: ribosomal RNA, 253 nt
Filed under: uncultured bacterium
Lineage: Bacteria
Description: partial 16S ribosomal RNA
Rfam family: Bacterial small subunit ribosomal RNA
Source: RNAcentral
UACGGAGGGUGCGAGCGUUGUCCGGAAUCAUUGGGCGUAAAGGGCGCGUAGGCGGUUCGUUAAGUCCUGUGUGAAAUCCCCCGGCUCAACUGGGGAACUGCACAGGAAACUAGCGGGCUUGAGUUCGGGAGAGGGAAGCGGAAUUCCGGGUGUAGCGGUGAAAUGCGUAGAUAUCCGGAGGAACACCGGUGGCGAAGGCGGCUUCCUGGACCGACACUGACGCUGAGGCGCGAAAGCUAGGGGAGCAAACGGG